This 291-nucleotide ribosomal RNA is filed under the name uncultured bacterium. Its description in RNAcentral is "partial 16S ribosomal RNA". It matches the Rfam family "Bacterial small subunit ribosomal RNA", at positions 775 to 1066 of the family's 1533-position model. The record is from RNAcentral.
GGAUUAGAUACCCUGGUAGUCCACGCCGUAAACGAUGUCUACUUGCAGCUCGGUUCGUAAGAACGGUUUUGCGAAGCUAACGCGUUAAGUAGACCGCCUGGGGAGUACGGUCGCAAGAUUAAAACUCAAAUGAAUUGACGGGGGCCCGCACAAGCGGUGGAGCAUGUGGUUUAAUUCGAUGCAACGCGAAGAACCUUACCUACUCUUGACAUCCUCAGAAGAGACUGGAGACAGUCUUGUGCCUUCGGGAACUGAGAGACAGGUGCUGCAUGGCUGUCGUCAGCUCGUGCC